Zonotrichia leucophrys gambelii is the source of this 730-nucleotide long non-coding RNA. RefSeq lists it as uncharacterized. The transcript is spliced from 3 exons. The record is from RefSeq and is a predicted model, not a curated record. NCBI's taxonomy places the organism in Eukaryota, Metazoa, Chordata, Aves, Passeriformes, Passerellidae.
UUUUUCAGUGGGAGUGUUACUAAAGGAAAACACAAAUGGCUGCAUAAUGUGUGUUUCAUCAGUCUGCUCUCAGGCCCUGUAAUACACAGAAAUUCUCUCUCCACUUUGUGGAAUAUCUCUGUACAUUAUAAAAGAAACACAAUAGAGAUCUCUGUUGUAGGAAGGUGGUGAAGGUUGUGACAAGCUUGGUAGACAAAGAGGAGAAGAUGGCAAAGUGACCAAAGCACCCUCCCUGUGCCACUCACAGAUCUCCAAAGCACACACAGGAGCUUCCCUCACUCCAUCAUUCCUCAGAGAAGCCUUUUCCCAGCUUUCAUCAUCCUUGUGGCUCCUUGGAGCCCUUUCAGCAUAGGAUAAACCACACAAUGACCCUGAAAGCAGUUUUCUUCAUGUCUGAGGUCGUGUGUGCUCAUCGUCUCACGAUUCCCGCUGAGCUUCUUCUCCAGCACCAAAAGCUCCUGAUUUCUCCCCAAGACAGGGCAGCAGUGCCAGCAGCUCCUCUGAAGGCUCUGGGGAAGGCUGGGAGCCAAAAGCUGCCAGGAUUUUGUCUCUCACCAUUUGUGGCUCCUGGCUGCUGCUCUGGGGCUGCUGCAGGGUUUCCCUCACCACCAAUUCCUCUCCUGUCCCUGAGCAGCGGCCACUUUGGAAAGACUUCUUUUAUUUUAAAAGCACUUCACUAAUGUGUUCAAUUCCUUCCCAUCUUAAUUCAGAUUUUUCACUACCCACACCU